ACUCUUAAUACUGAGAGUUUAUGCAGUAACCCACUGCGUAGCGGCUAGAACCCGCGUUUAACAUAAAGGAAAAACAAAUG
This 80-nucleotide non-coding RNA is filed under the name unclassified sequences. RNAcentral's name for it is "freshwater-2 RNA". It matches the Rfam family "freshwater-2 RNA". From Rfam's summary of the family: Aquatic, esp. fresh water. No recognized genes The record is from RNAcentral.